UUCUGACCUGCGUUAGCGAUUGAAGUGGCAUCCUUUUAAUGCUUACUUAAAGAACGUCAUUACGAGUGAAACGAAGUAAUCUUUUUAUAAAUAGGGAGAUUGCCACAGAAAAUAAAAAAAUUUCCUCGCAAUGACAUUAAAAGAUAGAACGAAAAGCGCGACCCUUG
This 167-nucleotide small RNA is filed under the name Nematostella vectensis (starlet sea anemone). RNAcentral describes it as "Flavo-1 RNA". It matches the Rfam family "Flavo-1 RNA". Lineage: Eukaryota; Metazoa; Cnidaria; Anthozoa; Actiniaria; Edwardsiidae. The record is from Rfam by way of RNAcentral.